GGGAAUGUAGCUUAGUGGUAGAGUGUUUGCCCUGUAUGCAUGAAGCCGUGGGUUUGAUUCCUCAGUACCA
RNAcentral lists this transfer RNA (70 nucleotides) under Dipodomys ordii (Ord's kangaroo rat). It matches the Rfam family "tRNA". From Rfam's summary of the family: Transfer RNA (tRNA) molecules are approximately 80 nucleotides in length. Their secondary structure includes four short double-helical elements and three loops (D, anti-codon, and T loops). Lineage: Eukaryota; Metazoa; Chordata; Mammalia; Rodentia; Heteromyidae. The record is from Rfam by way of RNAcentral.